Molecule: ribosomal RNA, 505 nt
Filed under: Hastula strigilata
Lineage: Eukaryota; Metazoa; Mollusca; Gastropoda; Neogastropoda; Terebridae
Description: partial 16S ribosomal RNA
Rfam family: Bacterial large subunit ribosomal RNA
Source: RNAcentral
AGUCGGACCUGCCCGGUGAGAAAUUUUCUUUAACGGCCGCGGUACUCUGACCGUGCAAAGGUAGCAUAAUCAUUUGCCUUAUAAUUAAAGGCUAGUAUGAAUGGUUUGACAAGAAUGUAGCUGUCUCUCUAUUGAUUUAAUAGAAUUUUAUUUUUAGGUGAAAAAGCCUAGAUUAAAUUAAAAGACAAGAAGACCCUAUCGAGCUUUAAAGAAUUUAAUGGAUAAUUAAUUUUAUAUAAAACCUAUAGAUAUCAUAAAAGGUGUUGCUAUUAAUUAUUUUGGUUGGGGCGACUGAGGAACAUAAAAAGCUUCCUUCAAAAUAAAGUGACGUACUAGUAUUGAUCCAAAUUUAUUGAUUAAGGGAAUUAGUUACCGUAGGGAUAACAGCAUUAUCUUCCUUGAGAGUUCAUAUCGAAAGGAGGGUUUGUGACCUCGAUGUUGGACCAGAAUGUCCUAAAGAUGCAGAAGUCUUUGAGGGUUGGUCUGUUCGACCAUUAAAAUUCUA